UGAAGCCAAUCAGAGUGCGCCACAUGUAUUAUUGAAACGCAGCGCUUCAUGAAGCGCGCGUUAUAUUUGAAUCCAGACGCGGUUCGAAUCCUGGCGCCAUCAUCUCACAUGUUGCCAUUUGUUUUUUUUUGCCAUUUAUGCUUUCAUGUUUCACCAUGCUUUGUUCUUGUUUUUUUAUUUUUUUCUCCAUGUUACAAAAUUCAUAACUUCUUG
This 213-nucleotide long non-coding RNA is filed under the name Lathyrus oleraceus (garden pea). RNAcentral describes it as "Pisum sativum (pea) long non-coding RNA (PSAT_LNC002693)". The record is from RNAcentral. Lineage: Eukaryota; Viridiplantae; Streptophyta; Magnoliopsida; Fabales; Fabaceae.